AACGAACGCUGGCGGCAUGCCUAACACAUGCAAGUCGAACGAGACCUUCGGGUCUAGUGGCGCACGGGUGCGUAACGCGUGGGAACCUGCCCUUAGGUUCGGAUUAACUCCCCGAAAGGGGUGCUAAUACCGGAUAAUGUCUUCGGACCAAAGAUUUAUCGCCUUUGGAUGGGCCCGCGUUGGAUUAGCUAGUUGGUAGGGUAAAAGCCUACCAAGGCGACGAUCCAUAGCUAGUCUGAGAGGAUGAUCAGCCACACUGGGACUGAGACACGGCCCAGACUCCUACGGGAGGCAGCAGUGGGGAAUAUUGGACAAUGGGCGAAAGCCUGAUCCAGCAAUGCCGCGUGAGUGAUGAAGGCCUUAGGGUUGUAAAGCUCUUUUACCCGGGAUGAUAAUGACAGUACCGGGAGAAUAAGCUCCGGCUAACUCCGUG
Molecule: ribosomal RNA, 433 nt
Filed under: uncultured bacterium
Lineage: Bacteria
Description: partial 16S ribosomal RNA
Rfam family: Bacterial small subunit ribosomal RNA
Source: RNAcentral